AGGUUCUUCCCCGUAAUAGGGAGGAUGAAAAGGGAAUCAGGUGAGAAUCCUGAGCAGUACCCGCUGCUGUAAGCCCCCGCCACCGCUUCGUUUCACCUUGCAAGCCACUGGCCGCAAUCGACGCUCCAAGUCAACUACAUCAUGGUCGGGAAGGCGUGAAACCGAAAAGGGGGCAAGUCAGAAGACCUGCCUUGCGC
Molecule: non-coding RNA, 197 nt
Filed under: human gut metagenome
Source: RNAcentral